RNAcentral lists this long non-coding RNA (346 nucleotides) under Mytilus galloprovincialis (Mediterranean mussel). The record is from RNAcentral. Lineage: Eukaryota; Metazoa; Mollusca; Bivalvia; Mytilida; Mytilidae.
ACUUUUUAUGCCCCACCUACGAUAGUAGAGGGGCAUUAUGUUUUCUGGUCUGUGCCUCCGUUCGUUCGUUCGUCCGUCCGUCUGUGCGUCCGUUCGCUUCAGGUUAAAGUUUUUGGUCAAGGUAGUUUUUGAAGAAGUUGAAGUUCAAUCAACUUGAAACUUAGUACACAUGUUCCCCAUGAUAUGAUCUUUCUAAUUUUAAUGCCAAAUUAUAGUUUUGACCCCAAUUUCAUGGUCCACUGAACAUAGAAAAUGAUAGUGCGAAGUUCAGGUUAAAGUUUUUGGUCAAGAUAGUUUUUGAUGAAGUUAAAGUUACAUCAACUUGAAACUUAGUACACAUGUUCCC